RNAcentral lists this ribosomal RNA (449 nucleotides) under uncultured bacterium. RNAcentral's name for it is "partial 16S ribosomal RNA". It matches the Rfam family "Bacterial small subunit ribosomal RNA", at positions 29 to 523 of the family's 1533-position model. The record is from RNAcentral.
AGCGAACGCUGGCGGCAGGCCUAACACAUGCAAGUCGAACGAACUCUUCGGAGUUAGUGGCGGACAGGUGAGUAACACGUGGGAACGUGCCUUUAGGUUCGGAAUAACUCAGGGAAACUUGUGCUAAUACCGAAUGUGCCCUUCGGGGGAACGAUUUAUCGCGUUUAGAGCGGCCCGCGGCUGAUUAGCUAGUUGGUGAGGUAAAGGCUCACCAAGGCGACGAUCAGUAGCUGGUCUGAGAGGAUGAUCAGCCACAUUGGGCCUGAGACACGGCCCAAACUCCUACGGGAGGCAGCAGUGGGGAAUCUUGCGCAAUGGGCGAAAGCCUGACGCAGCCAUGCCGCGUGAAUGAUGAAGGUCUUAGGAUUGUAAAAUUCUUUCACCGGGGACGAUAAUGACGGUACCCGGAGAAGAAGCCCCGGCUAACUUCGUGCCAGCCGCCGCAGUAA